GGUGGCUCAGUGGUAGAGCGCUUGCCUUGAAUGCAUGAAGCCCUGGGUUCGAUUCCUCAGCACCA
Non-coding RNA from Dipodomys ordii (Ord's kangaroo rat), 65 nucleotides. The record is from Rfam. NCBI's taxonomy places the organism in Eukaryota, Metazoa, Chordata, Mammalia, Rodentia, Heteromyidae.